GGCCUAUUUCAGAUCGGGCCUUUGAAAGCUCCAGGUUGUGAUGGUUUCCCGGCAAGGUUUUAUCAAAGGAAUUGGGCUGUUUUGAAGGUGGAGAUAGUGACUGCAGUGUAGGAGUUUUUUGUUAUAGGUAUCAUGCCAGAUGGUGUUAACGACAUGACGAUUGUGUUAAUUCCCAAAGUUCCCCACCCUAAGGAACUGAAGGAUUUCCGUCCCAUUAGUCUGUGUAAUGUUGUGUACAAGAUCGUGUCUAAAUGCAUGGUGAAUAGGCUACGACCGCUCCUUUCUGAGCUUAUCUCUGAAAACCAGAGUGCAUUCAUUCCAGGGAGGCUAUCUGAUAAUGCCAUUAUGGCCUUUGAGUGCAUUCAUCAUAUUCAGUCAGUCAAGGAUAACUCACCGGCUUUAUGUGCCUACAAACUUGAUCUGUCGAAGGCGUACGACUGUGUUGAUUGGUUUUUCUUGGAAAGGGCGCUCUCUAAAUGGGGCUUCUCUAAUCAGUGGAUCUCUCGUGUUAUGGCAUGUGUCUCCUCAAUGAAGUAUUCUGUUAAAUUUAAUGGCAAGUUGUUGGAGCCGUUCUCUCCCUCAAGAGGUCUACGCCAAGGUGAUCCAUUACCCUUCCUUUUCCUCUGUGUGGCUGAUGCUCUGUCUAUCCUUCUAAACAAGUCGAUGAGCGAGGAAGGAUUACAAGGGGUCAAGAUCUGUAGAGGUGCCCGUGUCAUCUCACAUCUCCUAUUUGCGGAUGAUUCCCUCCUGUUUUUUCAUGCUUCAGAGCAGCAGGCUCUCUUGGUUAAAGGUGUGUUAAACACGUAUACGACGGUGACUGGACAAUUGAUAAACCCGUCGAAGUGUUCCAUCCUUUUCUCAGAUAACUGUUUGCCAAGUGUGGUUCAGGAGGUUAAAAAUGUUCUGGAGAUUACUCAAGAAGUGUUUGAGCCCAUGUACCUGGGUCUUCCUGUCCCGGAAGGAAGUAUCCACAAAGGUAAUUUUGAAACUAUCCAAGAGCGUUUACGGAAGAAGCUUAUAGAUUGGAGUGAGCAAUAUAUGUCCGCUGGUAAUAAGGAGAUUCUUAUUAAAGCUGUGGCCCACGCCCUUCCUACUUAUGUUAUGAGUGUCUUCAAGCUUCCUGCAUCGGUCUGUGACGAAUUAACACGCAUGAUACGUCAAUACUGGUGGGGAGUGGAGAACGGCAAGAAAAAGAUGGCUUGGAUGAGCUGGGAUAAACUGAGGCUGCCUAAAUCCAUGGGUGGCAUGGGGUUCCGAGACAUGAGGUCCUUCAACCAGGCAUUGCUUGCUAAACAAGCAUGUCGAUUGUUGGACACGCCGGAGUGCCUUUGCGCUCGCCUUCUAAAGGCAAAAUAUUAUCCCUCUGGACAGCUGCUGGAUACGGUUUUCUCGGGCAAUGGUUCAUCAGUUUGGAAAGGUAUCUUGCAUGGCCUUGAUUUGCUUAAGAGAGGUGUAAUUUGGAGAGUGGGGAACGGUGCUGACUGA
This 1485-nucleotide ribosomal RNA is filed under the name Triticum aestivum (bread wheat). RNAcentral describes it as "partial small subunit ribosomal RNA". The record is from RNAcentral. Lineage: Eukaryota; Viridiplantae; Streptophyta; Magnoliopsida; Poales; Poaceae.